UUGAAAUGAUAUGCCAUGCCAUGCCACGGAAAUAGCUUGGAGAUUAAAGCCAAACAAAAAUUUACAGAAAAAGUGGCAAACCCAGAAGAGAACUAAUUACAUGUUAUAAGUUGCCUAUAUUACAAUCUGCACGUUCAAUCCAUCCGACAAACCAUCAAAGAUCAAGGACAGCGAACACAAAACUAAAUGAAGAGAGCCAAAAUGUUAAUCCUAAGUAAAUUGACCACAACAACAUCAUGUUGUUGCUGGCUAACAUUUCACUUUCAAACCCGACUAUUCUGAGGCAACGGCAGAACACCGUCGAAGAAAUCGCCAAAGUAACCGCGCGGUUCAUGGACUAACCUCGAGAUGAUGUCUCUGAGAGUGAUCACUCCUUCCAGAUUGCCAUCGUUGUCGACUACAUACACGCGGUGGAUCUUCUUGGAGUCAAGCAUCAAAAUCAGAUCCUUUAUUGUGUCGUCCUUCUUGCACGUAAUCAUGUUGCUCAGCAUGGGAGAGAACUCUUCAUGCUUCUCUAAGUAGUUUCUAACCGCAGUCAGGAAGUUUUUCGCCGUUAUCGAUCUGUAAUCGUGAUAGAUUUCUGGUGCAGUGAGCAAGAAAUGAAUAUCUCUUAAACUAAUGUUGCCUACUGCCCUACCACCCCUUUCAAUAACAGGUAUACCUCCAACCCUCUUCUUCCUCAUAAGUUUGAAUGCUUGUAGAACAGGCUCGUCCUCGUACACCUUGACAAUAGACGCAGGUGACAUCAUAGGAAGACCGAGCUCGGAAAGCGUCUUUGUUCCCCAUCUUUCAAACCAUUGAAGCCCCGCACAUUCUGCUAACAUGUGAAUCACAGCUGAUUGUGUGAUGAUGUUCUCAAUCUUUCCCUCCCCUAAGUCCACCACUGGUAUGCUCUUCAUUUUGUACUUUGAUAACAGCAAGAGCAUGGUCAAGAAGGAAUUCGACGUCUGCAAAGCAAGAAAUGGGGCCCAACGGAAAGAUCCCGAAAUAUCUCGCACCUGUGUGCUCUUGUACAAUUCAGAGGAAGUUAACGAUUCAAAAAAGCUUCCCGAGGUCGCUGCAGCGGAUUCCGGGCCCAAUACCUGCUGUUCUAAAGGAGAUAUCACACCAUUUGUUGCUGCAGCCAGAGCACUUCCAUCAGUCGGAACCUCCAUCCCCGAGAAGUCCU
Molecule: unclassified non-coding RNA, 1168 nt
Filed under: Hevea brasiliensis (rubber tree)
Lineage: Eukaryota; Viridiplantae; Streptophyta; Magnoliopsida; Malpighiales; Euphorbiaceae
Source: RNAcentral